AAUACAAAACAAAAUAAUGUGAAACACUAUUGUUCACCCACAAAAUGGAUUGGAAAAAAAAGUGACUGAUAAUGAUCAAGAUUGGUGAGGAGGUAUAGAAACUGGUGUGCUUAGAAACUACGAAAGUAUAAACUAGUUCGGUAUCUUUAAGAAGUUGGCAAUAUUUAUUUAAUAUAAAGAGCAUAUGCCACCAAUCUAGCAAUCUAGUAAUCCAAUAAUUCCACUUCUGAGGUUCUCUUUUACAGAAAUAUGCACAUGUGCACUUAAAGAUAUGAGUACAACUGUGGCACUGAUAGUGUGGGGGUUUUGAAGGGAAACUGACAUCUCCAUUAACUGUGAAAUGGCUAAAUAAAUCAUGGGAUACUAUACUGCUCAGUUUAAAAAAGGGAAUCUUGGUCUAAAUAUACUGGCAAAGAAAUAUGUCUCAUAUAUUCUUCACUGAAAGAAGCAAGCUUUAGAAUAGGUACAGUGGGAUCCAUUUCUGUAAUCCUGUGAUAUUUCUGUGUGUGUGUUAUAUUAUCAAUAUUUUGUACAUUGUUCUCAGUUUACUCCCUACUUCAAGGCACUUAGAUGGUUAGUAAUUUCUUGCUUUAGUGAUUUUUGCAGGUAGAAAAUAGAGGUCCUUAGAAGUCAACACAUUUGGUGAAGAGAUUAUAUUAAUAUUUGAAGGUAAGGUUUGAAGAUUAUACUAGGGUCUGAAGGUAAGGGGGAGGGAAUGCCUCAUCAAGAACUAGUCAGAGAUUUCUCUCCAAUAGCAGCAGAAGAUAGGCAUUUUGGCCCAGAGGAAGACUUGAUAUUGCCCCAGUGGUGGCUAACCUCAGGGAGGGUAAAACCUGAUGCGCCCUGGGGGACUGGAUCCAGGGAACUGGUAUCUGGUUGUCAAAGAUGUCAGUGUCUCUGCCUCCAAGGCCCAAUAUCAGCAGAGGCAGCCGACCUCAAGGGACCCUGUGGCCUCACACAGCAGCUGGUAAACUCAAUGGCCAGAACAGGACUCUGGGAAGUUUUUGCCACUCUGGAAGUAGGAAAGUCCUGGGAAUAAUGGAGGAUAGGGGCUUGGAUACAGAUUUAAUUUGACUAAAAUAAUGAUAAUAAAGGGAUGCAGCAUUUCAUGUGACAUCUGAUUUGGAAGAAAGAAGCCUGCAUGUUUCCAAAUACCCAGAGAAAAGUUUAGAGAGGUGGAGUACAUAGUGGGCAUCUUGGGGAGAGAAGAUAUACUGCUAGAAGAGAAAGGCAGAGACUUUUAGUCUCACUUUCAUACCUCUUUCUUGUUUGAAUUUUUGACAUUGAAUAUCUAUCUUUUACUCUUUUUUACAAUGAAUGAGCUUCCCAGUUCUGCAUGAUCCUAAGUCACCCCACCUCAGCACGACCACACUGCCUGGUCCCACAGACCACCUGUCCCUCUCCCUCAGGUCCCCAGCUCCCUGCCUCAGCCCUAACUUCUGAUCCAUCUUAGCCCUUCACUGACGAGCCAGCUCUCUGCCGGUCCUACCCACGUCACCCAGCCACCCAGCCCAGGGCUCUGGUCCAACUUCCUCAGCUGCUUUCUGCCCUCGUUGCUGCCACGGCAGCAUGACCUGUGGCUGCUGCCACCGUCCAAUGGUAGCUGGCAGUGUCCAAUCUCUGUGUUACAGAAAGUUGCCUGACUUGUUUUGACAACAAUUUGUUCCUAGUCUAAUCAAACCAGCUCCUUUUUAUUGCUUGGGAAAAACAGCAUCUGCAUGAGUAUUUCUGGAGCUUGUAUCAAGUCUCCUCUGCCAGAAGCUGUGACCCUGUGGGGUCUUGCAGUAAACUAAGGAGCUCAGUGACUAGUCUGGCUCCAGUCAGAGGGGAUUGUAUGAUGUCACUUGUAAGGAUGGAGAUCACUGGACUAGGAUUUGGCUGCCAGAGGUGGUGUCCUGUAGGAGAUUCUGUAGGAAAGAGCAGGCCCCCUUCUCCCAACUGCCGCACCUUCUCGUCUUGUCAAAGAACAGCACCGUGACCAACUGCAUGGCCUGACACCUGGCCACAAGUUUAGGCAGAGAGACGGGAGGGCUUGGUGUGACAUGGGCAAUUUUGCCUUUUGCUUAACCGUGUUUGUCCUGUGACAUUCCCUUCCAGCUUCUCUGAGUGAACCGUUUUCUUCUGGGGAUGUUCAGCCCAGCAUCUUGGGACUGGAGGUCCUCUUACAGCAAAGCUCCAGAAUCACACGGAUGCCACACCACCAACCAAGGACAGACCUCCUGAGAUGGGUCACGGGCAUGCUUGCUGUGUCUGAGGACCGGUGAAGAGCCAAGGAACGGAGGCGCAGAACAGGCAUUGUGCACGUGUGGCUCGCUCCCUCCAGCAUCCGGAAAAGUGCUCCUCAUUGUGUCCACUGGUUGUCCUGAUAUACAUCUCUGCGCAGAAUGCUGACGGAGAUGCUCCAAAGGAAGCAGGGACUCUCCACUCACACUUCAUGGGGCGAGACUAAAUAAACAUAAACACAUUCGAUCCGCAACCGCUGCUGCUCUGGACCAAGGUGUCCUCGAUCCUGUCACAGGGAGACCCCCUCACUGUGGCUCAUGGGCCAUAUUUUCCCACUGUGUGUCUUUAUGGAAUUUCUACUUCUUUGAUUACAGUAUUUAAAUAAGAAUGUAUCAAUGUCUUUCUGAUUAA
Molecule: non-coding RNA, 2634 nt
Organism: Odocoileus virginianus texanus
Lineage: Eukaryota; Metazoa; Chordata; Mammalia; Artiodactyla; Cervidae
Source: RefSeq, a predicted model, not a curated record